This 115-nucleotide ribosomal RNA is filed under the name uncultured bacterium. RNAcentral's name for it is "partial 16S ribosomal RNA". It matches the Rfam family "Bacterial small subunit ribosomal RNA", at positions 240 to 354 of the family's 1533-position model. The record is from RNAcentral.
AUUAGCUAGUUGGUGGGGUAAAGGCUUACCAAGGCAAUGAUGCGUAGCCGAACUGAGAGGUUGAUCGGCCACAUUGGGACUGAGACACGGCCCAAACUCCUACGGGAGGCAGCAG